Molecule: long non-coding RNA, 847 nt
Organism: Scatophagus argus
Lineage: Eukaryota; Metazoa; Chordata; Actinopteri; Scatophagidae
Exons: 3
Source: RefSeq, a predicted model, not a curated record
CGCCAGAAAACUGCUGUCAAGUGGAUGUCCGUAUGGAUCAAGAGGACCGACUUGAAUACAUAAUUCUGAAGAAGCACAAAUCAGGCUCAGAUGAGGCUCAGACAGACCCCAGCCCAGACAUCAGCAGCCCCGGCUGCUCCCAACCUGGAACCAGCCAGGCAAGUCAGUGUCAGACAAAAGGACCCACACCAACCAGUCAGAAGCAUUUCAUCAGGGGAUGAGAGUGUUACGGGUACUUCUGCCUCUGAGGAGGAAGACAGUGAGUCAGAACUAGGAGAUGCCACUGAACUUCCCACAUCCUCUUCAAGCACCACAUAUUCUGCACCAAAAGGACCAAGUGAUAGGCCCGUACUCAUUUGCUUUUCUAUGAGCCAUUCUAAUAGCAGCUAUUCUGACAUGAUAUACUAUGAUAAGCACAUGUGCUGCUUAAAGGCAUUAUUUAGCCUAAGAUCUAAAUUCAGCUUCUGUUCUGCCAAUACUUGAGACAGUUUGUCACCUGGUAGUGCCCAUGUUAUUGAUGAUACUCUGCACUACGUUCUGUUUAGGAUUGAGAAUGUUCUACUUGGUAGUGGCAAUGGUCAUUACAAUGAUUACUCAAAAUGCUGGUUGAUGUAAAAUGACAUAUGUAUCGUUAUCUAAAAUUUUGUACAUUUUUGUUAAAUAAAGUCACUCAUGUAUUUCACUCAUUUAUCUCCUGUAUGCUUGAGUUUUACUUGUUGAAAAUAUUUCCACUUUGUGACCCAUAUUAUUAAUAUCAACAAACUAAUGUUUUUUUCUUUGUGAAAUUAAGUGUUUGAUGGUACUUGAACGUUACCUAUUUGCAACAUUUCUCAUUUGAAAUAGUAAA